Molecule: long non-coding RNA, 180 nt
Organism: Lingula anatina
Lineage: Eukaryota; Metazoa; Brachiopoda; Lingulata; Lingulida; Lingulidae
Source: RefSeq, a predicted model, not a curated record
CCUCAAAGUGAGCAUCCUCGCCAGCAGCAUCACCGUUAAGGCAGAGUCGACAUUUCUGGAUUUUGCCUAAUGAUUUAUCAGACUGUGGAAGGCAUUUUCGGACAGCGCAAUGAAAGAGAUGGACGAUCACUUCCCCGUGGCGACAGCUCACGGGAAUGGGACGACUACAGACGACACUCA